GAAUUUUGGACAAUGGGCGAAAGCCUGAUCCAGCAAUGCCGCGUGCAGGAUGAAGGCCUUCGGGUUGUAAACUGCUUUUGUACGGAACGAAAAGCUUUGGGUUAAUACACUGGAGUCAUGAAGGUACCGUAAGAAGAAGCACCUGCUAAAUCAGUGCCAGCUGCCGCGGUAAUACGUAGGGUGCAAGAGUUAAUCGGAAGUACUAGGCGUAAAGCGUGCGCAGGCGGUUUUGUAAGACAGAGGUGAAAUCCCCGGGCUCAACCUGGGAACUGCCUUUGUGACUGCAAGGCUAGAGUACGGCAGAGGGGGGUGGAAUUCCGCGUGUAGCAGUGAAAUGCGUAGAUAUGCGGAGGAACACCGAUGGCGAAGGCAACCCCCUGGGCCUGUACUGACGCUCAUGCACGAAAGCGUGGGGAGCAAACAGG
This 425-nucleotide ribosomal RNA is filed under the name uncultured bacterium. Its description in RNAcentral is "partial 16S ribosomal RNA". It matches the Rfam family "Bacterial small subunit ribosomal RNA", at positions 359 to 776 of the family's 1533-position model. The record is from RNAcentral.